AAUUGUUUAUUUGCGGAGAAAAUUUGACAAUUGGAGAAGAAAACAACGCGUUGAAAAAACCCGCAUAUAUAAGUGGGACGGGGAUUUAUGGUAGAAUUGAAAAAAGCACGGCAACAAAUUAAAAAGAACGACGCGUAGUCUACGUCGGAUUAUAAGGAACGGCAUAAGAAGUCCAAGUCAUCUCUCUCUCUCUCUCUCUCUCUCUCUCUCUCUCUCUCUCUACAGAUUCUUCUUCAUUCUUCUUCUUCACGCGGUAUUCUUUUUACCAACUCAACACACAAACCCCUUAAAACCGAUCAGAUCAAUCAAAACGAACGGAUCAUAAUCAUAAUCCAAUCCAAUCCCAAAA
Molecule: long non-coding RNA, 349 nt
Filed under: Capsella grandiflora
Lineage: Eukaryota; Viridiplantae; Streptophyta; Magnoliopsida; Brassicales; Brassicaceae
Description: long non-coding RNA (CGRA_LNC000208)
Source: RNAcentral